RNAcentral lists this ribosomal RNA (253 nucleotides) under uncultured bacterium. RNAcentral's name for it is "partial 16S ribosomal RNA". It matches the Rfam family "Bacterial small subunit ribosomal RNA", at positions 524 to 776 of the family's 1533-position model. The record is from RNAcentral.
UACGUAGGGUGCGAGCGUUGUCCGGAUUUAUUGGGCGUAAAGGGCUCGUAGGCGGCCAACUAAGUCAGACGUGAAAUCCCUCGGCUUAACCGGGGAACUGCGUCUGAUACUGGAUGGCUUGAGGUUGGGAGAGGGAUGCGGAAUUCCAGGUGUAGCGGUGAAAUGCGUAGAUAUCUGGAGGAACACCGGUGGCGAAGGCGGCAUCCUGGACCAAUUCUGACGCUGAGGAGCGAAAGCCAGGGGAGCAAACGGG